AACGCGUGGGAACAUACCCUUUCCUGCGGAAUAGCUCCGGGAAACUGGAAUUAAUACCGCAUACGCCCUACGGGGGAAAGAUUUAUCGGGGAAGGAUUGGCCCGCGUUGGAUUAGCUAGUUGGUGGGGUAAAGGCCUACCAAGGCGACGAUCCAUAGCUGGUCUGAGAGGAUGAUCAGCCACAUUGGGACUGAGACACGGCCCAAACUCCUACGGGAGGCAGCAGUGGGGAAUAUUGGACAAUGGGCGCAAGCCUGAUCCAGCCAUGCCGCGUGAGUGAUGAAGGCCUUAGGGUUGUAAAGCUCUUUCACCGGAGAAGAUAAUGACGGUAUCCGGAGAAGAAGCCCCGGCUAACUUCGUGCCAGCAGCCGCGGUAAUACGAAGGGGGCUAGCGUUGUUCGGAAUUACUGGGCGUAAAGCGCACGUAGGCGGAUAUUUAAGUCAGGGGUGAAAUCCCAGAGCUCAACUCUGGAACUGCCUUUGAUACUGGGUAUCUUGAGUAUGGAAGAGGUAAGUGGAAUUCCGAGUGUAGAGGUGAAAUUCGUAGAUAUUCGGAGG
This 557-nucleotide ribosomal RNA is filed under the name uncultured bacterium. RNAcentral's name for it is "bacterial SSU rRNA". It matches the Rfam family "Bacterial small subunit ribosomal RNA", at positions 112 to 704 of the family's 1533-position model. The record is from RNAcentral.